CAGUCGCCGCGGUAAUACGAAGGGUGCAAGCGUUAAUCGGAAUUACUGGGCGUAAAGCGUGCGUAGGCGGUGAGUUAAGUCUGCUGUGAAAUCCCCGGGCUCAACCUGGGAAUGGCAGUGGAUACUGGCAAGCUAGAGUGUGUCAGAGGAUGGUGGAAUUCCCGGUGUAGCGGUGAAAUGCGUAGAGAUCGGGAGGAACAUCAGUGGCGAAGGCGGCCAUCUGGGACAACACUGACGCUGAGGCACGAAAGCGUGGGGAGCAAACAGGAUUAGAUACCCCCGUAGUCCCUGUCUCUUAUAC
This 301-nucleotide ribosomal RNA is filed under the name uncultured bacterium. RNAcentral's name for it is "partial 16S ribosomal RNA". It matches the Rfam family "Bacterial small subunit ribosomal RNA", at positions 509 to 807 of the family's 1533-position model. The record is from RNAcentral.